UGCGUGAGAAGUCACGCGUAGUACACCCUCCAGAGCGUGUCAGCGCGCGUGUAGGCGCGUGAAGAGCGCGUGAGUGACCGUUUUCCCUCCGUUCGACCUCCGUUUGCUUGUUCUUUGCCUCGAUUUCAACUCUGAUCCUAUUUUUAUGUGAAUUAGAACCUAUCAAGGAAAUUCCAGAAUUUUUGGAACCU
Long non-coding RNA from Cucurbita maxima (winter squash), 191 nucleotides. RefSeq lists it as uncharacterized. Lineage: Eukaryota; Viridiplantae; Streptophyta; Magnoliopsida; Cucurbitales; Cucurbitaceae. The record is from RefSeq and is a predicted model, not a curated record. The transcript is spliced from 3 exons.